This 226-nucleotide ribosomal RNA is filed under the name Escherichia coli. RNAcentral's name for it is "partial 23S ribosomal RNA". It matches the Rfam family "Bacterial large subunit ribosomal RNA", at positions 2081 to 2306 of the family's 2925-position model. The record is from RNAcentral. Lineage: Bacteria; Pseudomonadati; Pseudomonadota; Gammaproteobacteria; Enterobacterales; Enterobacteriaceae.
CGGAAAGACCCCGUGAACCUUUACUAUAGCUUGACACUGAACAUUGAGCCUUGAUGUGUAGGAUAGGUGGGAGGCUUUGAAGUGUGGACGCCAGUCUGCAUGGAGCCGACCUUGAAAUACCACCCUUUAAUGUUUGAUGUUCUAACGUGGACCCGUAAUCCGGGUUGCGGACAGUGUCUGGUGGGUAGUUUGACUGGGGCGGUCUCCUCCUAAAGAGUAACGGAGG